RNAcentral lists this long non-coding RNA (4130 nucleotides) under Vitis vinifera (wine grape). RNAcentral's name for it is "long non-coding RNA (VVIN_LNC004448)". Lineage: Eukaryota; Viridiplantae; Streptophyta; Magnoliopsida; Vitales; Vitaceae. The record is from RNAcentral.
ACUUCUCUCUCAGCAAAGGGCUUAACCACAGAUUCAGAAGUGGGAUUGCUUCCGGUGUCAAAUAAAGACCUCUUGAGAGCCACAACAGAGGAGAAAAGUAUGAUGAUUCGAGUUUCAACCGAUUCAGCUUCUGUUGGACAGAUUUGAGACAGGUUUUUCUGAUAGGUAAUGGAUUUUGUUUCUUCUGUUGGUUGGUCUUCAAGCAGGUUUAUCAGUGCACGACAUGCUGAUACAAAACCACUAGCUCUAGCGAAUCCUUCAUAUUGAAGGAGGUCACCACUUUGUCAACCUGGUUUUUUAUCAAGAAGAAUAUCUGGAGACUUCAGAUUUUCAUGUACAGUAGUAGGAUGGUUUGUGUGCUAAUGGUUCAUUCCCUUGGCCACGUCAAGAACCAUUCUUAAUCUCCAUCUGUUUAAAAUAGCAGGCCUAAAGUUCUCAUCCUUUUGACUUGGAGGAACAAAAGCGCCAACUGAAUGAUUAUAUGCAGUGAUACCAACAGAUUGCCUAUGCCAAAGAACUGAGUAUAAAGGAGAUCACAACUCUCCACCAUUAAUCUCAUACUAAUCUUGAGUUUUAUGAAGCAAGGUAGGCCAAGAAUCAAACUCUGCAUUUUCUAUGAGUAUGUCAAGAGAAUAAUAGGUUCCAAUUGAUCGGAGAAAACGAAUUUGGAGCCAUUUUCUUAUAAUAUCAAGAUUCCGCAAAGCAGGAAUUGUAACCCUGAAAGAGCCUUAGCAAGAGGGGUGCUUGAAGGAAUAACCAGUAGCAUUUCUAUAACACCCAAGAUUUUAUAGAGAUCAAGACGUUCUUCUCAUUUAGCAUCUGCCUGCAAUUUGAUUUAUGAACAUAUUUCCAACUCCAAACUUUGGUCAUUGGUCAGUUAAUAACAGUCCUACUUGUUACAGUGCUGUUAGGAUGGCUAAAGUCUGCUAGGACAAACUAAUAGGUUGUCUAUACUCCUGAAUUUUAAGUCUGGAUUCUAGUCUGGUCCUCUUUUUAUGCGCAUUGGAGGUGGCUGCUGAUAUGUGGACUGAGGGUGGUGUGCCGGAGCGAGGAGCCCGUGAAACUUCUACUUUAGAGUUCUGAAAACCUGUACUCUGGUCACCAUAUCAUCUGGUUGCAGUUGCUGAUGCAGGAAUUCCAGCGUCAGGUUGUGUUUUGCCCAGCUAUAUUUGGUUUAGCAGCAGAGCCACCAGUGGGUGAACUAUUGCCAAAAGAUUGAGGAUGCCAUUGGCCAUGCAGUACUGGUUAUGAUUGUUCUCCAAUUGAUAGGUAGCUAAAGUCAUUUUGAGACUCCGUAAUCAAAUACUGUGGGUGUAACAACUCUUGAACUUCUUGUGAAUUUUGAGACGCUGAUGAACACAUAUUCUGUGUUCCAGAUGAUAGAGAGUGCAAUUGAGCACCUCUAGAAUGGUCUUCAGAAGAGGUCUGCUGGAAUUGAUUCUUAUGGCUUCUGUUGAUGUUGACAGCUUAAAUCCCAAGUGAUUCAUACAAUUUCUCACUCCCACUACUGAUUUUUCUAUUUUCCGCACUCCUUGCAUAGAGCUUCUUAAUGUUCCCGAGCCUAUUCAGGAGUUAUUUCAAACGCAAACAGAAAUAGAGAAUCGGGACCUUCAAUUGAUACCUGUGUUCAGAAGCUGCAACUGGGCAUCCCAAAAUCAUCUAGACAUAGGUCACAACCCUCACUAGGCACCUUGGCAAUUUAUUGGCAUGUCUUAAAGCUCCUUAUUGACAUUUAAAACAUAAACAGAAACAGCUUUUCCUACUCCACAGCACUUCUGGAAUUCUUGAAGUCUAUUAGGUUCACAUGAAGGGACUAAACGAUGUCGGCUUAUCAUUAAAUUCAUCGUCAGCCUCAUUUUCUAAUAAUCCGGUCAGUCUUGGUACCUCUUUGAGAACCUCGAUUGCCAUGUCUUCAAUUAUCAUUGCAUCCAAGUCAUCACAACCUAGUUGGAAAGCCACACAGAAUUCCCUGUCAUGGGAAUUAGUAUAUUCAGGACAGACAUCAAGCAAGAGCUCGACAUAGUCAUCCAAAGGCAGACCAAGCUUUUUCUCCUCUUCCUUCUCAAGCAGAUCUCAAUGUUCGCAUUCCAAUUGUAUUCCAUAUCAGACUCAACAGUCAACGACCUUCUUCUGAGCUCUGAUUUCAGCACUUUCACCCCAAUCACAUCUUCACAUUAACAUUCGAGUAUCGCAACCUUUACAGCAGCAGGUUGUUUGCAAUGGUCGUUGUCAAAUAUCUUUAGGCAAUUAAAAUUAAAACCAGAUUUUAAACCUGAACCAUGAACCAGUAGGUACUCUACCAUGAAGCUUAGUCACGUAACCGAAUCCAACAAACUUCAAUUAAGACAUCUCAAACGAAUUAAAAAGACAUAAACAAAGGAAGAGUCGAAUAUGGGAUCCCAUCCAAAUUAAAGUUCAAUGACAUGAGCUACUAACUGCAGAUUGGGGGAAAGACUUAGGCAGGUACCUUUAUACAGUUAUCAAAAGCUCCUUAUGCCAAUUCUCACGAAGUUUGUUAACACAGCUUAGGUGAUUAUCAUCAAUUCCAAUUGAACCUGAACCAGGCAACUUCGAAAGUUUGACUAACGAAGCUUUCCUUCCCUUAUCUGUUAUGGAAGGAUCAGAAGCACUCUUUGCUUUUCGGCGACAUUUUCAUACUCCCUUAUAAGGCUCUGAGCUUCAGGUGAAUUCAGAAAUGAAGCAUUCUGUAGCUUCCAUGUAGCAUGCUCAUAACCAAGACCAUGCCAUUUUGCAAGCCAUUCAUAGAGGCAAUCCGGGAUGUCACCAGCCUGCCCAGUAUAAUAGCCAUCACGCUGCUUUGUGGGCAUUAACAGUCUCUUUAGUAGCAAAUGAUGUGGCACAGUCCAUUCUAGCUUAUACCUUAUGACCUGAUUCUUUCGAUUGAAUUUUGCCGCAAAAGAUGGAGCCUCAAGNNNNNNNNNNNNNNNNNNNNNNNNNNNNNNNNNNNNNNNNNNNNNNNNNNNNNNNNNNNNNNNNNNNNNNNNNNNNNNNNNNNNNNNNNNNNNNNNNNNNAUUCCAUUGGUUUGGAUUCAUGAAGUUUAUUCAUGCUUUGUUGAAAAUCAAGGAAAUCACGAAAAUAGUUAAAAAAUCAAAGGAGAUAGUGCAUGCCCAAAGGAAAGUGGCAGCAAAUAGCAUGUUAAAAUUUGGAUUUUAUACCUAGAAGCUCCUAAGGAAUUUUGAAGAAAACCAAAGUUAUUUUGAUGGAAAAAGAUUUUGAAAUUCAUAUUUAAGAUGUAUAAAAUCACAAAAUAAAGGAAAAGAAACAUUAGGAGUAUGAUAUGUGGCGAGGUGGCAAUUAUGUGGGUGGAGCCUGGAGGUGUGAUUGAGGCUGUGACACUGGCAUUGAAUCCCAAAAACGCAUUCUGCCCUAUUCUGGCAUUUUCCGAGGCUGAUCAAAAUUCGUAUACAGAUUGUUUUGUUGUAGCAUGUUUAAGAUACUUUCAGCAAGCUUCUUUAUGCACUCUGAGCUUUCUGAACACAACUGCAGCAGGGAACAUCUCCAAGACUUGUCAGAUGACAGAUUAUUAGUUCAGCUGUACACCAUGUUCGGGAUUGCCUGUAAGCAAGGAUGCCUAUCCGUAGGCAAUUGGGUGACUCAAGAUUUUCACCAAUAAAUAUAACUGGAAGUGGGGCAGCUUCUGGUCCUGAGAAACAUCUCCAAGAGGAGUUCAGAUUCUUAUGAUCCCUUCCUCCUCUCACAAGCUGUUAAAUAAGUGCCCCCAGUUUUCUGUAAAUCUGUAGAUUUCAUCCUUCACAGCAGCUCAGGAGUUAAUAUUUCCAGCUGAAACACUAACUUUCAAGGUGUGCAAUCAAACCAAAAGAAGUCACUUCUCUCUCAGCAAAGGGCUUAACCACAGAUUCAGAAGUGGGAUUGCUUCCGGUGUCAAAUAAAGACCUCUUGAGAGCCACAACAGAGGAGAAAAGUAUGAUGAUUCGAGUUUCAACCGAUUCAGCUUCUGUUGGACAAAUUUGAGACAUGUUUUUUUGAUAGGUAAUGGAUUUUGUUUCUUCUGUUGGUUGGUCUUCAAGCAGGUUUAUCAGUGCACGACAUGCUGAUACAAAACCACUAGCUCUAGCGAAUCCUUCAUAUUGAAGGAGGUCACCACUUU